ACUCCUACGGGAGGCAGCAGUGGGGAAUAUUGCACAAUGGGGGAAACCCUGAUGCAGCCAUGCCGCGUGUGUGAAGAAGGCCUUGGUUGUAAAGCACUUUCUAGUAGGGAGGAAGGUAGUGUAGUUAACACCUGCAUUAUUUGUACGUUACCUACAGAAGAAGCACCGGCUAACUCCGUGCCAGCAGCCGCGGUAAGUACGGAGGGUGCGAGCGUUAAUCGGAAUUACUGGGCGUAAAGCGCAUGCAGGCGGCUUGUUAAGUCAGAUGUGAAAGCCCGGGGCUUAACCUCGGAAUUGCAUUUGAAACUGGCAGGCUAGAGUCUUGUAGAGGGGUUAGAAUUUCAGGUGUAGCGGUGAAAUGCGUAGAGAUCUGAAGGAAUACCAGUGGCGAACGGCGG
This 398-nucleotide ribosomal RNA is filed under the name uncultured bacterium. RNAcentral's name for it is "bacterial SSU rRNA". It matches the Rfam family "Bacterial small subunit ribosomal RNA", at positions 335 to 724 of the family's 1533-position model. The record is from RNAcentral.